UGUGUAGGCGGUUGAUUAAGUUGGAAGUGUAAUACCUAGGGCUUAACCCAGGUGCUGCUUCCAAAACUGAUUGACUUGAGUGCGAGAGAGGAAAGUGGAAUUCCUAGUGUAGCGGUGGAAUGCGUAGAUAUUAGGAGGAACACCAGUGGCGAAAGCGGCUUUCUGGCUCGUAACUGACGCUGAGGCACGAAAGCGUGGGUAGCAAACA
RNAcentral lists this ribosomal RNA (208 nucleotides) under uncultured bacterium. RNAcentral describes it as "partial 16S ribosomal RNA". It matches the Rfam family "Bacterial small subunit ribosomal RNA", at positions 568 to 774 of the family's 1533-position model. The record is from RNAcentral.